GCCACAAUGAAACAGAGAAAAUCACCAAAUCUACACUGAGAAGCUGUAACUGGAAAUCAAUUUUGAGCAUUAAUUGAUCCGGAGGGAAGGAUCGCUUGGUGGCUACAAUGGAAGAAUGACCACAGCAACCCUUUCAACCUUCAUAGCAUGAAUCAGGAGAGGAAGCUGAGUGACACAGACAAGAUGUUUCCCAGCGGAGCGACGAACAACACCAGACGCACCUGAGAACAGAAAAGCCAAGAGUGGUAAUUACAACUAAAUACCAGCUGUUCCAGGAUUCCCAUCAACAUCUGGAGCCACUGGAGCAGUCCUCAUUACCUGGCGCUACUGGUGUCUGAGAGGCAGGAAGGAUUGUCGGAAGCUGUGGGAGGACAGGACAAAAGAAAUGCGAGGAAACUGCCUGAAUAGCAAGAGGUUGGUGAAGAUGCUGGCGCUGGAGAUGUACCGGUGGUAAAGGAUACCGGCCAGUGAUGUUGAGACACAGGUUUAAACCCCGCCUGAGGUACCCCGUCUCACACAAGUGUGUGUGUAUG
Long non-coding RNA from Perca flavescens (yellow perch), 533 nucleotides. RefSeq lists it as uncharacterized. The record is from RefSeq and is a predicted model, not a curated record. The transcript is spliced from 5 exons. NCBI's taxonomy places the organism in Eukaryota, Metazoa, Chordata, Actinopteri, Perciformes, Percidae.